Molecule: small RNA, 128 nt
Filed under: Marmota monax (woodchuck)
Lineage: Eukaryota; Metazoa; Chordata; Mammalia; Rodentia; Sciuridae
Source: RNAcentral
GCUGGGCAUGGUGGUGCAUGCCUGUAAUCCCAGCAGCUCCAAAGGCUGAGGCAGGAGGAUCACAAGUUCAAAACGAGCCUCAGCGAAAGCAAGGCACUAAGCAAGCACUCAGUGAUACCCUGUCUUUA